Molecule: ribosomal RNA, 586 nt
Filed under: uncultured bacterium
Lineage: Bacteria
Description: bacterial SSU rRNA
Rfam family: Bacterial small subunit ribosomal RNA
Source: RNAcentral
UCCUACUGGAGGCAACAAUGGGGAGAUUGAAAGGGGGGGGAGACCCUGUGGCACUGAUGCCCCGUGUGUACUCAUAGCCUUCGGGUUGUAGGGCACUUUCGCUUGUGAGGAAAAGUUCUUACUUAAUACCUGCUCGCCGUGACUUUAAGUUUUCAAAUCGCACCGGCUAACUCCGUGCCAACAACCCCGGUAAUACUGAGGGUGCGAGCGUUAAUCGGAAUUACUGGGCGAAAAGCGCACUCAUGCGGUUUGUUAAGCUACAUGUGAAAGCCCCGGGCUCACCCUGGGAUGGUCAUUUGGAACUGGCACACUAGAAUCUUGGAUAGGGGAGUGGAAUUCCAAGUGUACCGCUGAAAUGCGUAAAUAUCUGGAGGAACAUCACUGGCGAAGGCGACUCCCUGGCCAAAAACUGACGCUCAUGUACUAAAGUGUGGGUAGAUCACAAGAUUAGAUACCCUCGUAGGCCACUUCGUAGACUCUGUCUACUACCUGUGUGUGACUUUAUGGCGUGCGUAGCGAAUCUGACACGCUGAGUAUACCGCCUGGGGAGUACGGCCACUAGGUGAUGACUCAUAUGAAUUGACAG